UGGCUCCGAAUGGAGACGUGCAGUUCAACUGCGGAUAAAGUGUUGUGCGGUUCAAAUAGUAACAAAAAUAUAUACAUACAUAUAUAUGUAAAGAAUUUCGUUACUAUUUGAAUCGUACUGCACUGUACGGUUCGGUCACCAUUCGAAGCCUAUAUCACUACC
This is a non-coding RNA of Arabidopsis thaliana (thale cress), 162 nucleotides long. Lineage: Eukaryota; Viridiplantae; Streptophyta; Magnoliopsida; Brassicales; Brassicaceae. The record is from RefSeq.